This 467-nucleotide ribosomal RNA is filed under the name uncultured bacterium. RNAcentral describes it as "partial 16S ribosomal RNA". It matches the Rfam family "Bacterial small subunit ribosomal RNA", at positions 28 to 507 of the family's 1533-position model. The record is from RNAcentral.
GACGAACGCUGGCGGCGUGCUUAACACAUGCAAGUCGAACGGAAAGGCCUCUUUCUGGGGGUACUCGAGUGGCGAACGGGUGAGUAACACGUGAGUAACCUGCCCUUGACUUUGGGAUAACUUCCGGCAACUGGGGCUAAUACCGGAUAGGAGCUCCUGCUGCAUGGUUGGGGUUGGAAUGUUUCGCCGGUUGGGGAUGGACUCGCGGCUUAUCCGCUUGUUGGUGGGGUAGUGGCUUACCAAGGCUUUGACGGGUAGCCGACCUGAGAGGGUGACCGGCCACAUUGGGACUGAGAUACGGCCCAGACUCCUACGGGAGGCAGCAGUGGGGAAGAUUGCACAAUGGGUGGAAGCCUGAUGCAGCAACGCCGUGUGCGGGAUGACGGCCUUCGGGUUGUAAACCGCUUGCGCUCAUGACGAAGCUUUGUGUGACGGUAGUGGGUAAAGAAGCACCGGCUAACUACGUG